CUGGUUCAGUCUGCUUUCCACCAGACACUGGGAGAUGAAUUCAUCUUUCAGCAGGACAAUAACCUACAACACAUCCACACUGGAGGUGCUCACCAAGAUGACAUUGAAUGCAUCUGGGAGGCCCAGCUACAGGUAUUGAAUGCAUCUGGGAGGCCCAGCUACAGGUUUUGAAUGCAUCUGGGAGGCCCAGCUACAGGUUUUGAAUGCAUCUGGGAGGCCCAGCUACAGGUUUUGAAUGCAUCUGGGAGGCCCAGCUACAGGUUUUGUCAUCAAUCGGCUUGAAAAUCUAAUGCAAGACUUGAAAAUGUCUGUCUAGCAACGAUCAACAACCAACUUGACAGAACAAAUAUUGUACAAUCCAAAGUGUGCAAAGCUCUUAGAGACUUCCCCAGACAGACUCACAGCUGUAAUCGCUGCCAAAUGUGCUUCUGCAAAGUAUUGACUCAGGGGGUGUGAAUACUUCAGAAAAUUAUAUAUUCCUGCAUUUAAUUUUCAAUAAACUUGCAAAAUGAUGUAA
Long non-coding RNA from Oncorhynchus tshawytscha (Chinook salmon), 517 nucleotides. RefSeq lists it as uncharacterized. NCBI's taxonomy places the organism in Eukaryota, Metazoa, Chordata, Actinopteri, Salmoniformes, Salmonidae. The record is from RefSeq and is a predicted model, not a curated record. The transcript is spliced from 2 exons.